Molecule: ribosomal RNA, 980 nt
Filed under: human gut metagenome
Description: bacterial LSU rRNA
Rfam family: Bacterial large subunit ribosomal RNA
Source: RNAcentral
CCUAAGGUAGCGAAAUUCCUUGUCGGGUAAGUUCCGACCUGCACGAAUGGCGUAACGACUUCCCCACUGUCUCGACCAGGAGCUCGGCGAAAUUGCAGUACGAGUAAAGAUGCUCGUUAAGCGCAGAAGGACGAAAAGACCCCGGGACCUUUACUAUACCUUGGUAUUGGCAUUCGGUGUGGAUUGUGUAGCAUAGGCGGGAGGCCGAGAGGCGCGGUCGCCAGAUCGCGCGGAGCCGUAAGGUGAAAUACCGCUCUGUUCGCAUUGGAUGUCUAACCUCGAACAGUCAUCCUGUUCAGGGACAGUGCCUGGCGGGUAGUUUAACUGGGGCGGUUGCCUCCCAAAGAGUAACGGAGGCGCCCAAAGGUCCGCUCAGCCCGGUUGGCAAUCGGGUGGCGAGUGCAAGUGCACAAGCGGGCUUGACUGCGAGGACGACGGUCCGAGCAGGGACGAAAGUCGGGACUAGUGAUCCGGUGCCGGUGUACGGACGCGGCAUCGCUCAACGGAUAAAAGGUACCCCGGGGAUAACAGGCUGAUCAUUCCCAAGAGUCCAUAUCGACGGGAUGGUUUGGCACCUCGAUGUCGGCUCGUCGCAUCCUGGGGCUGGAGCAGGUCCCAAGGGUUCGGCUGUUCGCCGAUUAAAGCGGCACGCGAGCUGGGUUCAGAACGUCGUGAGACAGUUUGGUCUCUAUCCUCUGCGCUCGUUGGAAUCCUGAGGAGGCCUGCCCAUAGUACGAGAGGACCUGGGUGGACGAACCUCUGGUAUGCCGGUUGUCGCGCCAGCGGCACGGCCGGUUGGCUACGUUCGGGAGGGAUAACCGCUGAAAGCAUCUAAGCGGGAAGCCUGCUCCAAGAUAAGCAUUCCGUGGAACCUUCGAGUUCCUGUAGUCCCCAUGCAGAACACGUGGUCGAUAGGCCGGACGUGGAAGCCCCGCGAGGGGUGGAGCCGACCGGUACUAACGGACGAAAGGCAACACUAA